AAAAAAAAAAGAAAGUAACUGGCAGAGUGCCUAGCUACUGCAUGUGUUCAGUACAUACAUGUUAGUUUUCCUUCAUUUCCCCUUUCCUCAUAAUUUUUUCUAGCCAGUCUUUUUUCUUUCUUUCCCCUCUCUAAUCCAUCCACAACAUUAACACUGAAUUAAACUUCUCACAGCACUGAUCAAUCAUUAAAUCAGUACCCAACUCACGUGAACUGAGUGUUCAUCAUGUGAAUUCAUCACAAUUGAAAUAUUCAUUAUUUUUCUGAUAGGGGUUGCCGAGUUAGGACACCAGGUAGGCCUUACGAGCUACAGUCUUGUAGUGGAGGUUUUGGUCAUCACCUGCUGAAACAUCCUUCCAUCUAUCCACUGCUCAUUGCCCCACUCAAGGGAAGGCCAUUCUCCUAGCACGGUGCCCAAGCCCCUGCUCGGUACGGUCCUAACCAGCCUCCCCUCCAUGUUCCCUCGUGCUGGCCAAACUAAACAGCUCCUCAGUCUCUGAACUCUCGGUCUUCCAUGGCAUUUCUUGCUUGUCUCCUCUGCUUGGAAUGCCUUCUCCCCUUCUCUCUUGGCAACCGCGCCAUCUCGGUGAGGCCCCAUGCAGCCCCACUGAUGAAUGUGCUUUCCUUCUCCUUGCCCUUGUUCGUACGCUUCUUAGGGGAUUUCCAUGUUCCAGGAGGGUUUAUGGCUAUUUCUGUAUGUCCUGGUCCUCCUAACUAGACUGUGAUCUCCCCCAGGAAAAUGCAUUUUCCUCCAAACUCAGCAUGCCAUAUGAGGGCCUCAUACAUGCAGUUAGUCCGUGAUACAUUCGUCACAAACACAUAAAAUUUUUGUUGAGCUUAUUAAGCAAGAUCCUACAUCUGAAAGCAGCUGUUGUAAAAUGAACAACUACUUAUUAGCAACAGCACCAAAAACACCAACACAUUUUGUGUGGGCUGCUGAACAGUCAUGCCCCACGCCUUCUGUUCUUAGUGAAAGUCAAAUGCAGACACUUCCUGUCAUGCCUGCUAUGAGUGAUUCCUG
Molecule: long non-coding RNA, 1020 nt
Filed under: Homo sapiens (human)
Lineage: Eukaryota; Metazoa; Chordata; Mammalia; Primates; Hominidae
Description: HSALNT0199559
Source: RNAcentral